UACGUAGGUGGCAAGCGUUGUCCGGAAUUAUUGGGCGUAAAGGGCGUGUAGGUGGAUCUUUAAGUCUUGUGUCUAAGUGCGGUGCUCAACGCCGUAUGGGCGCAGGAAACUGGGGAUCUUGAGUGCAGGAGAGGAAAGUGGAAUUCCCAGUGUAGCGGUGAAAUGCGUAGAUAUUGGGAGGAACACCAGUGGCGAAGGCGACUUUCUGGACUGUGUCUGACACUGAGGCGCGAAAGCCAGGGGAGCGAACGGGAUUAGAUACCCCGGUAGUCCUGGCCGUAAACGAUGGGUACUAGGUGUAGGAGGUAUCGACCCCUUCUGUGCCGGAGUUAACGCAAUAAGUACCCCGCCUGGGGAGUACGGCCGCAAGGUUGAA
This 376-nucleotide ribosomal RNA is filed under the name uncultured bacterium. RNAcentral's name for it is "bacterial SSU rRNA". It matches the Rfam family "Bacterial small subunit ribosomal RNA", at positions 524 to 898 of the family's 1533-position model. The record is from RNAcentral.